UGCCCAUAAGACUGGGAUAACUCCGGGAAACCGGGGCUAAUACCGGAUAACAUUUUGAACUGCAUGGUUCGAAAUUGAAAGGCGGCUUCGGCUGUCACUUAUGGAUGGACCCGCGUCGCAUUAGCUAGUUGGUGAGGUAACGGCUCACCAAGGCAACGAUGCGUAGCCGACCUGAGAGGGUGAUCGGCCACACUGGGACUGAGACACGGCCCAGACUCCUACGGGAGGCAGCAGUAGGGAAUCUUCCGCAAUGGACGAAAGUCUGACGGAGCAACGCCGCGUGAGUGAUGAAGGCUUUCGGGUCGUAAAACUCUGUUGUUAGGGAAGAACAAGUGCUAGUUGAAUAAGCUGGCACCUUGACGGUACCUAACCAGAAAGCCACGGCUAACUACGUGCCAGCAGCCGCGGUAAUACGUAGGUGGCAAGCGUUAUCCGGAAUUAUUGGGCGUAAAGCGCGCGCAGGUGGUUUCUUAAGUCUGAUGUGAAAGCCCACGGCUCAACCGUGGAGGGUCAUUGGAAACUGGGAGACUUGAGUGCAGAAGAGGAAAGUGGAAUUCCAUGUGUAGCGGUGAAAUGCGUAGAGAUAUGGAGGAACACCAGUGGCGAAGGCGACUUUCUGGUCUGUAACU
This 629-nucleotide ribosomal RNA is filed under the name Bacillus sp. (in: firmicutes). RNAcentral describes it as "bacterial SSU rRNA". It matches the Rfam family "Bacterial small subunit ribosomal RNA", at positions 127 to 741 of the family's 1533-position model. Lineage: Bacteria; Bacillati; Bacillota; Bacilli; Caryophanales; Bacillaceae. The record is from RNAcentral.